CGCUCUUAGGGUAUAAUUAAGAGUAAGGUCUGCCCAAUGAAAUUUAAAUGGCCGCGGUAUUUUGACCGUGCGAAGGUAGCAUAAUCAUUAGUCUAUUAAUUGUAGGCUGGUAUGAAAGGCUAGAUGAGGAUAAGCUGUCUUUUUUAGUUUAAUGAAUUUUAGUUUUAUGUGAAGACGCAUAGAUGAAAAUAGGGGACGAGAAGACCCUAUUAAGCUUUAUAUGUAAAUUCUAAAUAGGAAAAUUAGGAGGAAAUAUUAUGUUGGGGCGACAGUAGAAUAAACGUCUAUUUAUUUGAGAUGAUUUAAUUAAAUUAAAGUAUGAUCCAUAAUAUUUGAUUGAAAGAGUAAGUUACUAUAGGGAUAACAGCGUAAUUUCAUCGGAGAGUUCAUAUUGAUGAUGAAGAUUGCGACCUCGAUGUUGAAUUAGGAUACCCAAGGGGUGCAGCAGUUCUUUAGGGUGGUCUGUUCGACCAUUAAAUUCCUACA
Molecule: ribosomal RNA, 486 nt
Filed under: Lamyctes hellyeri
Lineage: Eukaryota; Metazoa; Arthropoda; Chilopoda; Lithobiomorpha; Henicopidae
Description: partial 16S ribosomal RNA
Rfam family: Bacterial large subunit ribosomal RNA
Source: RNAcentral